GACGAACGCUGGCGGCGUGCUUAACACAUGCAAGUCGAACGGAAAGGCCUUUUCGGAGGUACUCGAGUGGCGAACGGGUGAGUAACACGUGGGUGAUCUGCCCUGCACUCUGGGAUAAGCCUGGGAAACUGGGUCUAAUACCGGAUAGGACCGCACUUUAGUGUGUGUGGUGGAAAGUUUUUUCGGUGUAGGAUGAGCCCGCGGCCUAUCAGCUUGUUGGUGGGGUAAUGGCCUACCAAGGCGGCGACGGGUAGCCGGACUGAGAGGUUGGUCGGCCACAUUGGGACUGAGAUACGGCCCAGACUCCUACGGGAGGCAGCAGUGGGGAAUAUUGCACAAUGGGCGCAAGCCUGAUGCAGCGACACCGCGUGGGGGAUGACGGCCUUCGGGUUGUAAACUCCUUUCGCCAGGGACGAAGCGUUUUGUGACGGUACCUGGAGAAGAAGCACCGGCUAACUACGUG
RNAcentral lists this ribosomal RNA (463 nucleotides) under uncultured bacterium. RNAcentral's name for it is "partial 16S ribosomal RNA". It matches the Rfam family "Bacterial small subunit ribosomal RNA", at positions 28 to 507 of the family's 1533-position model. The record is from RNAcentral.